AAUGGCUCUGGCUCAGGGUUCCCAGAGCUCCAAUGGCACCUUUGAGCAUUGUCACUCCUGUCAUCAGAGUGACACCCUUACAGAAGCACGGGAGGAAUGCUGGAUGCAAUGCGAUGUUAUUAAAAGGACUAUGGACUGGGGCUGAAGGCCCGGCAAGAAUAACAGGCAGUGCAGUACCCAAGCAGGCAGCAGACACAGACUGGAUCUCAUCAAGUGCUUUAGCUGAAAAAUGCCCAGAAAACAUGCUCUGCGCAAGGCCAAGGAUGCCUGCUCCCCAAGACCAAGAGAUGGUCAAUCUGUUCCCUUAGUUGAAUAACCAGUCCUGGAAAGAAAGUAAGCGGAGAGGCCUCAAAGUAAAUCAAAUACAUAGCAUAUACAGUUCUGACCCUCCGGGGCCCCACCCCACUCGGCAAAACAGAAGUUCCACAGUGGGCCAGACAGUGGCCGUGCAGCCUCACCUAUGUUGAGUCUACCACUCUGAGUGAAAAUGCCCAACAAAACUGGAUCUACUGAGAGGAUCCCGCUGCCAGGGAAAUGAGAUUUUUCUCAUAUCAUUUAAAAUGAAAUGAUUGUUAGAAGCCAUCUGAAGCAAAACGAGAGUUAAGGGGAAACAGACUAAGAAAACAGAAGUAGAGCCACUUCACUAUUUUGCUUAAUUUGUAACACCUUCAGCAAGAUCUUCAAACUAGAAAAGCUGGAGAUAAAGAAGGGUAUUCUUAACAACUUCAAGGCCCAAGUGAAUUACUCCCACUGCAAUGAAAAGCAAUUACAUAUGUUUCUGUGGAGCGAUUGUUGGUGUGGGUUCCUAAGUGGGAAAAAAUGGAUAGCUGUUAGGUCAUAGAAACCAGAGGAAUAUUUCCCCGGUUUUUAGAAAAGAGCAAUGAGUAAGAUUCUGAAAAUUAUAAACUGGUAAAUAUGGCAUCGAUCCCUAACAAAAUUCUAGGACAGAUUGUUGGGCAAAUGUUCUGUUGUGAAAGGAAUAAUAUAUAUAUAUAUAUUAUGUUCAAUACAAAAUAUGUUGAAAAUUAUCGGGCCCCUCUUAGUCCUUCACAGAGAACCUGAUGUGGUAGCAAAUCUCUACACAACUGCUAACAGAGGAAAGAGAAUUCUCUUUUACUGCUCCCUCGUCUGCUGUCAAAAAAGCAGAAUCGUGAGAAAAUCAAUGCAACAGAAGAGUGCAAAAGCUAUAAGGACAGAUCCUGCCAGGGAAAAUGUCUACUUAUUCUACAGUAGCACUGCUGAAGCCUAUGCUUCAGACUUGGGUCAAUGUGUGCCCUGCACAGAGAUGCCAAACUGGGGCAGGGACUGAGAGCAUGCUAGCCUCCAACCCAAGCUCUACCUCCACACGGUGUGCUUUGGUGCAGGAUCCAUGUCAUCCUAGGGACAGCAUCUAUUCCCACAAUGCUUUGUGGCCCUAUGCACACCUGACGUCAAGAGCCUGCAGUUCAAAUCCUACAUCCUCUACUCAUCAACUUGAAACCAUUCCUGGGCUUCAGUCCUCCUAUGCACGGGUAUGAGUCAGCAUCAAGAUUGAUGGUGAGGACUAAAUGCCAACAGGUAUGAGGAGCACUGAACACAGUGUUUGUCUCCAUGUUGGGAAAAUCCUGGAAGGGAUCAAAUCAGAUCUUUAUGGUCCAGAUCUCCAAUUCAGAGAUUUUGUGACCAGAGUUGAAAAUCAGAAAUUCUUGGCUCAGAUCCUUUUGGCCAUCAACUUUUUGUUGCAGUUACAAUUUACAACAGUAAUGAACUUACUGUUCACUCUGUUCACUCACUUACUCAGUAGCGAACUACUGAGAAAAGAGGAUUCUCUGAACAGUAUUUUAGUUUUGUUCUCCCCAUUUUGUAAAGUGGAGUAUAAAACAGAAGCUUCUGAAGUAACAGAUUUAUUAUACUUGUUCCCUUAUGAAAGAAAAGUCAUAAAGUCAUCCUCUGCUCCACUCCCAUCAAUUUUCCUCUCACUUUUAACAGAUUCUAUAAAGCAACAUUUAUGUAACAGGUAGGUCUUUUGCAAAAGAGGAAGAGGGGGAAGGAAUCCUAUCUGAUCAUGUCUUGAGAAGCACGUUUUUCACUGGUAGCUUCAUUAACAUUGUGUCUGGGGCCAGAUGAAUAGAAAUGAUGUCACUUGUAGGACACAUAAUGAAAGAUGUACUCUGUCCACACACUCCAUGGAUGGUUGAUUAGAAAAGAUUCAAAAUUUGUAAACGUAUGUACAUGAAGGAAUCUGAACACAGGGAACAGCUAUCCAGAACCCCUUCAAAUAUUUUUUACAAGCAAAAAUUUCUUUAAUUUCAAUGAAUAGUUUAUUUAAUUAUGUCUCAUAAUGUUUCAGACAAUAUCUAUCCGAUAAAAGAAAUACAGCAUUAUUUGUUACAUAAUGCCAAUAUCAUCUCAAACUGAAAGAAUUAUUUGCACCCCCAAUUCUCUUGAAGUGAGAAAAUGAUGAAUAGAUGACAUGUUCAUUAACUAUAUGAAAACAAGAUAUACUUGAAUCUUUUGGUUUAUUUUGAUUAGGUUUCAGCUAGAACAGUUGGUUGAAACGAAGUAUGUAUAGAAAAAGGAAGGACAAAGACAAGUGUUAGGGUUGGUCUGUGGGACGGAAAUGUAAAGCAUUACUGGGAUGAUACUGAUUCUAUUAAGCCUGUAUGCGUUAUUUUGUACACUUAAUCAGCAGCCCUGAAAACAUGAAGCCAAUGUCUCAUGAGACAGAAAAUGACCUAAAGAGCCCCAAAAGCCAUAAUGUUCCCAACCGUUAAGGAAAAAUGGCCCUCUACCAGCAUGAGGAAGUGAAGGUCUCUUCUGUUUUUAAUUAUACAUGGACAGAAACGUUAAAAAUCCUUAUUUUAUGUCUUCUACUUUAAUCAUUCCUUUUAUAUUGCAA
Molecule: long non-coding RNA, 2878 nt
Organism: Leopardus geoffroyi (Geoffroy's cat)
Lineage: Eukaryota; Metazoa; Chordata; Mammalia; Carnivora; Felidae
Exons: 2
Source: RefSeq, a predicted model, not a curated record